UAUAUAAACGGACAGAAUUUCAUCUCUCGCUGAGCUACCUAGUAACAUCCUAAUAACCAUUACGUGGACCUCAGAUGGGGAGGGUUUACAGCUGAGAUUGACGUGUGUUUCAAUGGCAGCCGGAAAGAGAGAAAGCGGGGCGACAAGACGAGCACACAGCCCAAUAGAAACGGUACUAAGGAGUCACCUGUUGAUCCGUAGGCUUUAUGAUGGGAGAGAGCUUUCUCCGCCUGUGAUCUGCCAGCCUCUCUACAAACCAUGGUUGCCAACAUUUACUGUCAUCCUUUCUUCCCCCAACCUUCCCUUCCCACCCCCCAACCUUCCCUUCUCUUCCCUUACUAAAUUGUCACCACCACCCCACCCUCCUCUCCCAGUUGCUCCCAGUCCUGUUGCAUAGCUACCUGCUCUGCCCAUGAAACACACUGGAGAUGGAAGACAAUGAUUAUAGCUGUGAGCAUGCACACUAUCCAGAUGAUAAAAUCAAGCCAAAAGCAAAUAAAAAUGGGAUUUAUCUCCUUGUGGAAGUUCA
Long non-coding RNA from Salmo salar (Atlantic salmon), 529 nucleotides. RefSeq lists it as uncharacterized. Lineage: Eukaryota; Metazoa; Chordata; Actinopteri; Salmoniformes; Salmonidae. The record is from RefSeq and is a predicted model, not a curated record.